GGCAAGAAACCUAACUUGCGGUUGAAACUGCAAAGUUUUGACUGAGGAAAGUCCAUCCACCAUUUUACCUUUUUUAUUGGAUUAAAUGCCAUAAAAAGGAGUUGAUGUGCUUUUGUACAUUUCCAGUAAUGGAAGGCAACCGCUCAGAAACGACACGGCCUUUUAUUCGCUAUGAUGUCAAAGCGUUUGAAAACAACACUUUGAGCACCCCAAAAACAAUUCCUGUUUUUUUGGUGUUUGCGAAGUUUUCCGCGAGGAGAAUGAGAUAACCAACUGAGUUUGUUAAAAGGAUACGUUUAAACGGCGAGCCCCAACUGGUGCAAGUCUUUUACUGACGCUAAGUAGAAUGUUAGGAAAAACCUUCAAUGAUAUGCUUUAAAGCAUUAGGGUUUUACAGAAGAUGGCUUAUUGCUUGCC
This 417-nucleotide RNase P RNA is filed under the name Nanobdellota archaeon. RNAcentral's name for it is "RNase P RNA component". It matches the Rfam family "Archaeal RNase P". Rfam says of the family: Ribonuclease P (RNase P) is a ubiquitous endoribonuclease, found in archaea, bacteria and eukarya as well as chloroplasts and mitochondria. Its best characterised activity is the generation of mature 5'-ends of tRNAs by cleaving the 5'-leader elements of precursor-tRNAs. The record is from RNAcentral. Lineage: Archaea; Nanobdellati; Nanobdellota.